CCUACGGGUGGCUGCAGUGAGGAAUAUUGGUCAAUGGGCGCGAGCCUGAACCAGCCAAGUAGCGUGAAGGAUGAAUGCCCUACGGGUUGUAAACUUCUUUUAUAAAGGAAUAAAGUGAGGCACGUGUGCCUUUUUGUAUGUACUUUAUGAAUAAGGAUCGGCUAACUCAGUGCCAGCAGCCGCGGUAAUACGGGGGAUCCGAGCGUUAUCCGGAUUUAUUGGGUUUAAAGGCAGCGUAGAUGGGUUGUUAAGUCAGUUGUGAAAGUUUGCGGCUCAACCGUAAAAUUGCAAUUGAUACUGGCAGUCUUGGUUACAGUUGGGGUAGGCGGAAUUCGUGGUGUAGCGGUUAACUGCUU
RNAcentral lists this ribosomal RNA (356 nucleotides) under uncultured bacterium. RNAcentral's name for it is "partial 16S ribosomal RNA". It matches the Rfam family "Bacterial small subunit ribosomal RNA", at positions 338 to 691 of the family's 1533-position model. The record is from RNAcentral.